AGUGCAGGUGAUGAUAAAACAGAGACAUCAGCAACAUUCCUUUGGAGGAUAUUGACUUUUGUCUUGGAAAUCUCCGAUGCAUG
Molecule: small nucleolar RNA, 83 nt
Organism: Telopea speciosissima
Lineage: Eukaryota; Viridiplantae; Streptophyta; Magnoliopsida; Proteales; Proteaceae
Product: small nucleolar RNA R44/J54/Z268 family
Exons: 1
Source: RefSeq, a predicted model, not a curated record